Cucurbita moschata (crookneck pumpkin) is the source of this 982-nucleotide RNA transcript. It is a transcript of the gene named mitochondrial pyruvate carrier 1-like, with no coding region annotated. Lineage: Eukaryota; Viridiplantae; Streptophyta; Magnoliopsida; Cucurbitales; Cucurbitaceae. The transcript has 5 exons. The record is from RefSeq and is a predicted model, not a curated record.
AAUAUUAGUUGGUAGAAGUUGCCAACAAACGGGUAAGCACUAUCGUCGUUGCUAUCCGCAAACCCCGCCAAAUAGGCUCACAAAAAGCAUGCUCCUCCGCACCGCUCUCUCGUUUGCACUACCGCCGCCCAGCCAUUCCGACCUUCGUCUUCAAGUUCCUGUUCCUCGCGAUGGUUCCACAUUCUCAGGAUAAGUGUAUUUGCUUCAAGAUAUUCUUCUCUCUUUUGCUCUGUUCCUCGAGCGGCUCUGGCAAUUUGCGGUGGAGAUACCUAAUCUUCGAUCGAUCAAUUUCGGUCGCAAUCAAGUCCAAAUUCACGGAUCUAAUUUUUUAAUCACGAAAUUUCCUAUUCGAUUACGCAUUCACUCAUCAGAUCAAAGUUUAUCGCGUAGGGGAAAGCGAUAGCGAUGCCUCCGUGCGAUUGUCAUUCGUAGCGGCAGCCAAAGCAAUAGUUCGAGGCGGCUUCGAUGUCUUCGUUCCGAGCGUUCCGAGCGUUCCUCAACAGUCCUGUUGGCCCUAAAACAACUCAUUUUUGGGGACCUGCUGCAAACUUCGGUUUCGUGGUUGCUGGGCUGGCAGAUGUGAAAAAGCCAGCCGAUAAGAUAUCCGGCAAAAUGACGGCAGUUUUGUGCGUCUAUUCGCUGUCUGGCAUGAGAUUUGGAUAUAUGGUUCGGCCUCGGAAUUAUCUGCUUAUGGGAUGCCAUGCCGCGAAUGAAACUGUUCAGCUCUAUCUUCUCUCCCGUUGGGCGAUGGGAACGAGGAAGAGUGUCAAUUACAGCAACGAGUAGCUUCCUCUUCGUUUCAAUGGCGGUAUGAAUAUGAUUACUCCAUUGUUGCUGUUUCGAGUUACUGUUUCGAAUUACUGUUUCUUAUGUGUUACCCCAAUACGAAUCCCCAAUAAACAAUGUUGGUAAUCAAUGUUUUCUAUCACUAAGUUAGAAAAUUAAUCCUAAACAAACCAAUGAAUCAAAUCUGUUUAAAUAG